This 1338-nucleotide long non-coding RNA is filed under the name Durio zibethinus. RNAcentral describes it as "long non-coding RNA (DZIB_LNC001544)". The record is from RNAcentral. Lineage: Eukaryota; Viridiplantae; Streptophyta; Magnoliopsida; Malvales; Malvaceae.
AGGUCUUCAGAAGCGCGGGUCUUGGGCUAAUUGAAGUGCACCGUUUCAAUUGUAUAUAUAAUCCAAAAAUUUUCUACCUCUAUCACUUUCCAUUUCCCACUCUCUAAAAAAACAAUUUCUUUGUCUCUCUCUCUAAACGGGAUGAAACUGGUAGAAAACUUCAAGGUUUUCAGAUUUCGGUGCCUGCGCCGCCACCGGUCGCCACCCACUGCAUCGGCCGGUCACCAAUUCAGCCCAAAAUUUCGUAGCUGUUUCCUCUCAGUCUCCUCAUCUCAAAUCUAAACUCAAGUUUUUGAAAAUCGUCCACCGAUGGCCUCGAUCCGAAGCCAAAGUUGCUGUAUUCCACCACGGUUUUCACUUCAUUUCACCGUUCGAUCAAGUUGAUUUUUUUUAAUGUUAUCCUCCUCUCGAUGUUCUUCGUGUUUGCAGGUUUCGAUUCUUCAAAAUCGCCGGUGGUCAUCGGCUUAGACUUUCAUUGCGUCGCUUCUGUCUCUACCGUGGGUCGGUCGCCACACUAUACUGUUGCUUCUGUCUUCAACAGCCCUAAAUCAACCUUGGCUCACUUCCUUUGUCCAACCACCAUAAGUACCACUGAGUUGCAAUGCCGGUUGUAGCUGCUUUUUUUUUUUUUUUCUGUUUGGCACUGCCCCAAAAAAGGCCCAGAUUUGUUGAUGCUGAAAUAGCUUCUCUUGAUUUUUCUUUUGGAAUUUAUGCUAACUGAUGGCUUGUGUUGAUGGAAUAAUGUUUUUAGAAGCGAUUGUUUCCAAAAAAUUAGGAUUUUUCCUGAUGAGGUUUCUGUGUUAAUGAUGAAUUGUGGGUGGUUACUGAUUCUGUCUGCAGGUUUGUGGUUUGUUUGAUCUAUUUGAAUCUGCUUGGGGUUGUUUUAAUGGCUUCUUGAGGAUUGGGUGCGACAAGGGUAAGGGUACUAGCUAUGGUUCUGGUAAUGUGGCCUCGAGUAUGGGGUUAUAUUGUAGGCUGGAACGGUGGUGUAGGUUUUGAUCAAGAUCGGUUGUGGUGUUUGUUAAGAUUGUUUUAGUGUAGGUGGGAAUGUGAAUGACUUCGGUUCUGGCAAGCUUGGCUGAUGGAUUUUGAGGUGGAGACUAGGUUGAUGGGAAUAAGGCCGAUUGUAGGCUCUAUGGUGCUGGGAAUGUAUCUGUGAAUUGUUGCUCCAUUUUUUUUUUUCUGUUCUAUGUUCUUCCCACCAUAAAACUAUGGUACUGAAUUUAUACGGAUUUUGUUUCAAAUUCAAUAGAACUCCCCAUCUAAAGGAGUUUCAACUCCAUUUCAAUUCAAGUUUUGGACUUUGAUUUCAACUAAAACUUUGCAAUCCAAAAAAAU